Molecule: signal recognition particle RNA, 299 nt
Filed under: Saimiri boliviensis boliviensis (Bolivian squirrel monkey)
Lineage: Eukaryota; Metazoa; Chordata; Mammalia; Primates; Cebidae
Description: Metazoan signal recognition particle RNA (ENSSBOG00000001175.1)
Rfam family: Metazoan signal recognition particle RNA
About the family: The signal recognition particle (SRP) is a universally conserved ribonucleoprotein.
Source: RNAcentral
GCCGGGCACGGUGGCACGUGCCUGUAGUCCCAGCUACUCAGGAGGCUGAGGUGGGAGGAUCGCUUGAGCCCAGGAGUUCUGGGCUGUAGUGCGCUAUGCCAAUCAGGUGUCUGCACUAAGUUCAGCAUCAAUAUGGUGACCUCCCGGGAGCGGGGGACCACCAGAUUGCCUAAGGAGGGGUGAACCAGACCAGGUCAGAAACGGAGCAGGUCAAAACUCCCCUGCUGAUCAGUAGUGGGAUCGCACCUGUGAAUAGCCACUGCACUCCAGCCUGGGCAACAUAGCGAGACCCUGUCUCU